UGUCCUCUGUGCUGGUGCUCCUCUUCCAUCAACAAAUAACCAGCUGAGGGCUGAACUGCCGCCAUUCAGCUCACAGAUAUUCCUAGCAGGGGUUGGGCCUUACACAGAUGUUACCCGGACAAUUUGCCCGGUUUUCCAAAAAAGGAAAACCAGGCAGGAUCUCCCCGGAUUGACAUGGCAAAUAGCCAAUCUCUGAUCGCCACAUCAUAGACCAGCCCCUUUGACAUUUCCCAUCUCGACCACAACAUCACUGACCAAGCCCGGUGUUGUCGUGGCCCCGCCCACUACCCGGAUUGUGAGCCACGUGAAGGUGGAAACUCUAGAGCAGCAUCUAACUGGUUGGCUGAUCCCGAUGAGAUCAUCAAGAUGAUUACAGCGUAUAUUUCGGAAUAUGCUAACACUAAUUGGCUAAUGGAACUGGUUACCUUGAUUGAACAAUUGCAUUAUUAUAAUGACUAUGAAGAUUUUCAUUCAUCCAGGUCAUGGUAUCUCUAGUAUAGGUAAUUCUAAAACAACUGGACUUGCUGAGUAAUCAUUGAAGACGUUUCACUACUCAUCCGAGCAGCUUCUUCAGUACAACUGACUGGUGAGGGAAAUUCUCGGCAUAUAAACUCUUCCACUAAUUCAAUCACAAUGGCACAUUGUAACCCUUCAAAGAGGUGACAUUAUUAUAAUGAACGAUUAAUUGACUUCAUUGACUCAAUUGACUUCACUCAAGCCUAAAUUCUUCAAGGACUUGGCAGAGGAGUGGAUGUUCAGAGGUUUGCCAAUAUAAAAGGGAAACCAUUCUUGGACUUAAAGAAGGAAAUAAUUUGGAUCAGAGUUUGGUGAAAAAUCCUUUGAAAGUCGUGGAGAGAAUUGUGAAAGAGGUUCACUUGAGUAUCGUGAGAGGACUCCUGAUCCUUGGUGGCAGCUUACUCUGAGCAUUUCAUAUGGACUGCUGAGCAGGAGCUUAUCAGAUGGUGACUUUAGUCCCUGGCCUGCUAUAUUUUUGAAUUUCCGUCUUCCUGUCAUCACAAAAAGCGUUUGAUCUGUUGGGACUAUUCAGUGGUUCAUCUCGUGGAACUUCAUUGGAACAGAGAUUAAUUAAAAACUACAUUUGAUGAAGGCAAAGCUGUUAGUGCUGCAAGGCAUUUGCAUAUUCUUCUGUGUUGUUUGUACAGGCAGUAAACAUUAUUAAUUUGGCAGCAUGUAAGGAAAUAAGUAAAUAUUGUAUAUGUUCUUGUUUAAUUGUAGGCAAGUCAGCUGUGCAACAAUAGAGAUGGCAAUGGGCGCUGGGGAAACCAUAAUUAGGACCCAAUGUACCUUGUAAAGAGAAUGGGGCCCAUCAGCCUUUGGGAUCUCUUUCAGAGUUCUAAAGACAAGACCUAUUUAAAUUUGCUGUAUUAUUAAAUAUGUUUUUAUUGAUCUGCUCCUCACAGAAGUUUUAUGCUGUCCCCUCUUUUAUCUUGAAUGGUUAAUGCCUCAAUAUUUUCAAUUCCGACAGUUUUCACCAAGGAGAUGCUCUAAUGCCGGGUCUUUUAGAUGUAAACCACUAAACUCAAUAGGAGGUGGCAGCAGUAGAGUAUGCACCAGCUGAGAAACACUGCCCAUUAGCCUAAACCUUCAACUGAAUCCUGAAAGGGAAUGGGUGAGUGUUUCCAGCUAAGAGAUCAGAUUAGUAAACAAUGGAAAGAAAAAGAUGUCUACUGCGUAUUGAAAAAAAUGUUUUACUGGAGAAAAAUCAGUUGAGAAACUCUGUUUCUUGACUGAUUUACGUUCUUCAUUCUAUUGAUAUAUUUGAUUAGUUCAGUUUUUAGUGUUUCUACUCAGGUAUUUGUAUAUAUAGCUUUUAAUACACUGACCUCUCAGCAUAAGAAAUGUGUAAGUAGACACAGACACUUCCACAGACGCAGUGUUUCCCAUUUCCAUGGCAAGUCUCACUCAUGUUCCUCUUCCUUUAAAAUAACUACUUUAGGAAAUAAAAGUUAAGUAAAGUAGUAUCUAUAAAUAGUGAUGGGCGAAUUUGCGCCGUUUCGCUUCGCCGGAAAAUUUGCGAAAUUCGC
Molecule: long non-coding RNA, 2045 nt
Organism: Xenopus laevis (African clawed frog)
Lineage: Eukaryota; Metazoa; Chordata; Amphibia; Anura; Pipidae
Exons: 5
Source: RefSeq, a predicted model, not a curated record